AUUGAACGCUGGCGGCAUGCCUUACACAUGCAAGUCGAACGGCAGCACGGGGGCAACCCUGGUGGCGAGUGGCGAACGGGUGAGUAAUACAUCGGAACGUGCCCGGUAGUGGGGGAUAGCUCGGCGAAAGCCGGAUUAAUACCGCAUACGACCCACGGGUGAAAGCGGGGGAUCGCAAGACCUCGCGCUAGCGGAGCGGCCGAUGUCAGAUUAGGUUGUUGGUGGGGUAAAGGCCACCAAGCCGACGAUCUGUAGCUGGUCUGAGAGGACGACCAGCCACACUGGGACUNAGACACGGCCCAGACUCCUACGGGAGGCAGCAGUGGGGAAUUUUGGACAAUGGGCGCAAGCCUGAUCCAGCCAUGCCGCGUGCGGGAAGAAGG
Molecule: ribosomal RNA, 383 nt
Filed under: uncultured bacterium
Lineage: Bacteria
Description: bacterial SSU rRNA
Rfam family: Bacterial small subunit ribosomal RNA
Source: RNAcentral